AACUGUCUCUUAUUUAAUUAUAUAAUUUAAUUUUUUUAUUAAAAAGUUAAAAUAUUUUAAAAAGACGAGAAGACCCUAUAGAGUUUAAUAAAUAUUUAAGUUAAGAUUAUUUUGAGGUAUAAACUUGAAAUUUAACUAUUUAUUUUGUUGGGGUGAUAAAAAAAUAUAAAAAACUUUUUUUAAAAUAAUACAUUUAUAAGUGAUUAAAUGAUCCAAUAUUAUUGAUUAUAAGAAAAAAUUACCUUAGGGAUAACAGCGUAAUUUUUUUUUUUAGUUCAAAUAAGAAAAAGAGUUUGCGACCUCGAUGUUGGAUUAAGAUAAAAUUUAAA
This 329-nucleotide ribosomal RNA is filed under the name Acrapex subalbissima. RNAcentral's name for it is "partial 16S ribosomal RNA". The record is from RNAcentral. Lineage: Eukaryota; Metazoa; Arthropoda; Insecta; Lepidoptera; Noctuidae.